Candoia aspera is the source of this 1189-nucleotide long non-coding RNA. RefSeq lists it as uncharacterized. Lineage: Eukaryota; Metazoa; Chordata; Lepidosauria; Squamata; Candoiidae. The transcript has 2 exons. The record is from RefSeq and is a predicted model, not a curated record.
GCUGCAAGAAAAAGAAGGGAGCAAGGAAACCACCACAUAGCAACAAAAGGGGAAUGUACAAAUCCAGUUUAAAAGUUUUAAGUUCCCCCCUGCAAGUAAACUCAUAAAAAAGUGUCACAUAUUGUGGGCAACCACAGAGAUGACCUAGGAGAAAGAAUGUGGCAAAACACAAAUUAAGGACCCAAAAGGAAGAAAAUGUUAGAAACAAACUUAGGCAGACUUGCUGUAAUUGUCUUUGGUAUAAGAGGGAGGGAAAGGAGAACACCAUCAGGCUUUCAAGAUACUAUUGCUAUAGCCUAUAUCAAGAAAGCAGAGUUCCAGUGUAUCUUGUGGUCUCUGCUUUCUGAAUUGGCCUAUCGUAAAGAUUAGCAAAUACCCAAUUCCCAAAAAUGCUCGUCUUGAUGUAACUUAAAAAGGACCACCUAUAGGCAACUUGGAAAGAAGAGAGUGAUGGCAAGCUCAGGGAAAUUCCAGGGCUUCUUGGAAUACCUUCCUCCACCCCUCCCCCAAUCAUUAAGGAAAAACCAGAGGACAUCAAGAAGCAGACCAAGGCUGUCUAGUGAAAACAGUAUGUUCAGUAGAAGUAAUGUUAUUUUGAGGGGGGGAGGGAAUGCCAUGAAGAAAGUACACUUAUAGUAAAAUAUUUUAUUCUAUAGCCCACCCGUUCCUUGCAUGGAUGGAUAGGAAUUCUGUCAGUCUUCAUGGCCUUUAUCAGAUGUCACAAAGACUAAAAAGGAAGUGCUGGUGUCAAAGUUAAGCAAGCAGUAUUGGCGGGGCAGGGGAAUCUGCCAAUUCUGCCUUGGCAAAGACCAUACCUCCAAACUAGUGUAACAUUUAAAUAAAUUCACUGUAUAUCAAUGCAAUGAAGAAACAUAAACACCUAUCUGACUUUUCUGCUAGCCAGAUGGAGAGACGGACAAACGAGUACUCCUUUAAAAAGUAACAGAGCAAGCAUGCCUGACUCCUUAGGGCAGGGGUGAUGGAAGGGGCUGGAAUACAGACACGCCUGCCUUUUUGCAAGUUGCCUUCCCAGUAAUCCUUAUAAAAAUAGAGGGUGGGUUGAGGGUGAGGAAAACUAGGGAUCCAUGUGAGUAACCCUGCAGAUUUAGCUUUGCUGCCUGAUAAGCUUUCAAUAUAUGGUUUUGGAUACCUGUUAAACCCAUUAAAGAAGUAAAGAUGUUAAAGCUUU